This 253-nucleotide ribosomal RNA is filed under the name uncultured bacterium. RNAcentral describes it as "partial 16S ribosomal RNA". It matches the Rfam family "Bacterial small subunit ribosomal RNA", at positions 524 to 776 of the family's 1533-position model. The record is from RNAcentral.
GACAGAGGGUGCAAACGUUGCUCGGAAUUACUGGGCGUAAAGCGCGUGUAGGCGGUCUUGCAAGUCAGAUGUGAAAUCCCCGAGCUCAACUCGGGAACUGCAUUUGAAACUGCCUGUCUUGAGUAGUGGAGAGGAAAGCAGAAUUCCUGGUGUAGAGGUGAAAUUCGUAGAUAUCAGGAGGAACACCGGUGGCGAAGGCGGCUUUCUGGACACUUACUGACGCUGAGACGCGAAAGCGUGGGGAGCAAACAGG